Molecule: long non-coding RNA, 208 nt
Organism: Nothoprocta perdicaria
Lineage: Eukaryota; Metazoa; Chordata; Aves; Tinamiformes; Tinamidae
Exons: 2
Source: RefSeq, a predicted model, not a curated record
CUCAUUUUGCAAGGAGGACCCUUGGUUGCAAUUUCUGGAUCAUUUCUGAAUGAUUCUGAACCAAAAGGAUGUGUAACAAAGGUUAUUUUAAGACCACUCUUGCUCUCUAAUUCCUCAUCUACCCAAAUCAGAUGCAAUUCCAAGCAGAGGGAAUGGAGAAGUGCCUGAACACAGGAAGGACUUCAAUCUCAAGUCAUAAAAAGCAAGA